GGACGAACGCUGGCGGCGUGCUUAACACAUGCAAGUCGAACGGAAAGGCCCUGCUUUUGUGGGGUGCUCGAGUGGCGAACGGGUGAGUAACACGUGAGUAACCUGCCCUUGACUUUGGGAUAACUUCAGGAAACUGGGGCUAAUACCGGAUAGGAGCUCCUGCUGCAUGGUGGGGGUUGGAAAGUUUCGGCGGUUGGGGAUGGACUCGCGGCUUAUCAGCUUGUUGGUGGGGUAGUGGCUUACCAAGGCUUUGACGGGUAGCCGGCCUGAGAGGGUGACCGGCCACAUUGGGACUGAGAUACGGCCCAGACUCCUACGGGAGGCAGCAGUGGGGAAUAGUGCACAAUGGGCGGAAGCCUGAUGCAGCAACGCCGCGUGCGGGAUGACGGCCUUCGGGUUGUAAACCGCUUUCGCCUGUGACGAAGCGUGAGUGACGGUAAUGGGUAAAGAAGCACCGGCUAACUACGUG
This 469-nucleotide ribosomal RNA is filed under the name uncultured bacterium. RNAcentral's name for it is "partial 16S ribosomal RNA". It matches the Rfam family "Bacterial small subunit ribosomal RNA", at positions 27 to 507 of the family's 1533-position model. The record is from RNAcentral.